RNAcentral lists this ribosomal RNA (465 nucleotides) under uncultured bacterium. Its description in RNAcentral is "partial 16S ribosomal RNA". It matches the Rfam family "Bacterial small subunit ribosomal RNA", at positions 28 to 507 of the family's 1533-position model. The record is from RNAcentral.
GACGAACGCUGGCGGCGUGCUUAACACAUGCAAGUCGAACGGAAAGGCCCCUUUGGGGGUACUCGAGUGGCGAACGGGUGCGUAACACGUGAGUAACCUGCCCUUGCCUUCGGUAUAACUUCAGGAAACUGGGGCUAAUACCGGAUAGGAAUCCUUGCUGCAUGGUGGGGGUUGGAAAGCUUCGGCGGUUUUGGGUGGACUCGCGGCUUAUCAGCUUGUUGGGGGGAUAGUGGCUUACCAAGGCUUUGACGGGUAGCCGGCCUGAGAGGGCGACCGGCCACAUUGGGACUGAGAUAAGGCCCAGACUCCUACGGGAGGCAGAAGUGGGGAAUAUUGAACAAUGGGCGGAAGCCGGAUGCAGCAACGCCGCGUGCGGGAUGACGGCCUUCGGGUUGUAAACCGCUUUCAGCAGGGGCGAAGCUUGUGGUGACGGUACCUGCAGAAGAAGCACCGGCUAACUACGUG